ACGUAAUGUUUCAACAGCAUAACAGUCACUAGGAUUCGGCAAAGACAAUCUAUUUAGACUGGUUUGUUUUAGGUGGUGGUGGAGAAAUGGUGUUCCUCAUCAACUAACAUCUCCACUCAGAAACCAGAAUCCUGGAGACAGAACCCAGUAAAGGAGGUGACUUUCGAUGAGCAAGCAGGACAAUCAGGCGGAGACAAAGAUCAGAACGCAGACCAGGAAGACGAAAUCAAACAAUGGAAAUUCGGCUUGCUGCAGUUCUACAACGACGUCUCCUACAGCGUGCUGGUCUUGAUGGCUCCAUGUUUAGCAGAGGC
Long non-coding RNA from Symsagittifera roscoffensis, 314 nucleotides. RefSeq lists it as uncharacterized. The transcript is spliced from 3 exons. The record is from RefSeq and is a predicted model, not a curated record. NCBI's taxonomy places the organism in Eukaryota, Metazoa, Xenacoelomorpha, Acoela, Convolutidae.